GUAGAGAAUCAGAUGUGACUGCGUAACUAUUACUGUCCUUGAUGGAGUCUGCCUGCAAACGGGAUAUUCUGUCAAGGUAUAGAUAGGUAACAGCGGACAUGCUUGAAAACGAGGUGUCUGCUGUCCUUGGGAGGGCCUACUUGCAAAUGAGAGGCUCCUUCAAGGUUUAGAUAAGGUAACAGCGGACAUGCUUGAAAACGAGGUGUCUGCUGUCCUUGGGAGGACUUGCCUGCAAACGGGAUGUUCUGCCAAGUGGGCUAGGAGGGCGCUGAGAAAAAUUUUAUUAUCUGUUCUUAACAAAGAGCAGAGCUCAACAUACUCCGGGCUGAGAAUAGAUUAGCCAUGAGAAGCGGGUCACUUCUGAUUAGAAAGUAAAACUUCUGUAUGCUAUGUUUAAUUAGCUGAAAGACCUGAUUUAUUGAUGUUGGAAGGCUGCCUUCUUUGUUCACAAUACUAUAAAAAGAUUGCUUGUACACAAUAAAGGACUUUUUUUCUGCUGCUG
RNAcentral lists this long non-coding RNA (502 nucleotides) under Marmota monax (woodchuck). Lineage: Eukaryota; Metazoa; Chordata; Mammalia; Rodentia; Sciuridae. The record is from RNAcentral.